This is a long non-coding RNA of Epinephelus moara (kelp grouper), 911 nucleotides long. RefSeq lists it as uncharacterized. The record is from RefSeq and is a predicted model, not a curated record. The transcript is spliced from 4 exons. NCBI's taxonomy places the organism in Eukaryota, Metazoa, Chordata, Actinopteri, Perciformes, Serranidae.
CUCAUCCGGGUUCAGGAUGUGCAGCAUGUCAUCAAAUAUGGGCUGCAGGUCGCACGGGUCCAGACGUACCUGCCGGAGCACAGUGUCUUUCUUCUCUGGAGGGGGAACAGAGAGGGGCCAAAACACAUUAUCACGAUACUUUCAACAAAGACGUCAUCCUUCUUCCGAGGCCAUCAAGCAGUGUUGUUGUCAAACAUCGCACAAAGCAACAGUUACACGAAAAAGGACAUAUAUUGAAUGGAUUUGAAUUCCAGAAAUCCUGGGACCAGAGGAGUGUCACUGAACAAAUGCGGGAUCUCUGCUGAUGUGAGCCUCGAGUUUCUGAUGACAUGUGGCAACAGAUUGAUUUCACCCAAACUGCGUGCUGGACAAGAGCUGGAUGCAAAUCUCAUACAUAAAGUCUAUAAAUCCAAAGCCCUAUACAUCAGACCAUCAAUCCCUCAGCCAAUUUUGGAUGAUAUUACAGGCUAUAGCAGUGAGGACAACAUUUGUGAGGAAAACACUGGUUCAGCAAGGCAGCUGCGCUCCUCAUCUCUAACAGGAAAUAGACACUCACAUGCAUCUUCAGACGGUUUCACCAGCCGAAUGACUGCCUCCCCACCAACCCGUACCUCUGCAGUUCAACUUUUUGCCUCAUCACCUGGGUGUGAAGCGUUAGUCACUCAAACUCCUGCCUUGACAUACCAAAGCAGUAUCUCAACCAACCACAGCAGCACUUCAGCAAGCAGUUCUUCUAGUCAAUUGUCAGUGUGCUCACUGGAAAGCUGCCCUUCCACCAGUCAGCCUUCUACCUCAUCAUUUGGAGGAACACCUUCAGUUGAUCCAACUCUGGUCCUGACUUGCCAAAACAGCUCAAGCUCACCCUACCAGAGCAGCACUCCAGCAAGUCUUUGUUCUGUGUUACCCUCUAC